This 465-nucleotide ribosomal RNA is filed under the name Vreelandella stevensii. RNAcentral describes it as "partial 16S ribosomal RNA". It matches the Rfam family "Bacterial small subunit ribosomal RNA", at positions 338 to 795 of the family's 1533-position model. Lineage: Bacteria; Pseudomonadati; Pseudomonadota; Gammaproteobacteria; Oceanospirillales; Halomonadaceae. The record is from RNAcentral.
CCUACGGGCGGCAGCAGUGGGGAAUAUUGGACAAUGGGCGAAAGCCUGAUCCAGCCAUGCCGCGUGUGUGAAGAAGGCCUUCGGGUUGUAAAGCACUUUCAGUGGGGAAGAAAGCCUUGGGGCUAAUACCCUCGAGGAAGGACAUCACCCACAGAAGAAGCACCGGCUAACUCCGUGCCAGCAGCCGCGGUAAUACGGGGGGUGCGAGCGUUAAUCGGAAUUACUGGGCGUAAAGCGCGCGUAGGCGGUCUGAUAAGCCGGUUGUGAAAGCCCCGGGCUCAACCUGGGAACGGCAUCCGGAACUGUCAGGCUAGAGUGCAGGAGAGGAAGGUAGAAUUCCCGGUGUAGCGGUGAAAUGCGUAGAGAUCGGGAGGAAUACCAGUGGCGAAGGCGGCCUUCUGGACUGACACUGACGCUGAGGUGCGAAAGCGUGGGUAGCAAACAGGAUUAGAUACCCCUGUAGUC